UGUGUAGGUGGCGCCGUAAGUCGGGUGUGAAAUCUCGGGGCUUAACUCCGAAACUGCAUUCGAUACUGCGGUGCUUGAGGACUGGAGAGGAGACUGGAAUUCAUGGUGUAGCAGUGAAAUGCGUAGAGAUCAUGAGGAAGACCAGUGGCGAAGGCGGGUCUCUGGACAGUUCCUGACACUGAGACACGAAGGCCAGGGAGCAAACG
This 206-nucleotide ribosomal RNA is filed under the name uncultured bacterium. RNAcentral describes it as "partial 16S ribosomal RNA". It matches the Rfam family "Bacterial small subunit ribosomal RNA", at positions 568 to 774 of the family's 1533-position model. The record is from RNAcentral.